This 207-nucleotide ribosomal RNA is filed under the name uncultured bacterium. RNAcentral's name for it is "partial 16S ribosomal RNA". It matches the Rfam family "Bacterial small subunit ribosomal RNA", at positions 568 to 774 of the family's 1533-position model. RNAcentral also lists the same sequence under 1 other name. The record is from RNAcentral.
CAUGCAGGCGGUCGGGCAAGUAGGAUGUGAAAGCCCCGGGCUCAACCUGGGAACUGCAUUCUAAACUGUCCGACUAGAGUAUUGCAGGGGGAGACGGAAUUCCAGGUGUAGCGGUGGAAUGCGUAGAUAUCUGGAAGAACACCAAAGGCGAAGGCAGUCUCCUGGGCAAAUACUGACGCUCAUAUGCGAAAGCGUGGGUAGCAAACA